ACCGCGUGAGUGAAGAAGGGUUUCGGCUCGUAAAACUCUGUUGUUGGAGAAGAACGUGCGUAAGAGUAACUGUUUACGCAGUGACGGUAUCCAACCAGAAAGUCACGGCUAACUACGUGCCAGCAGCCGCGGUAAUACGUAGGUGGCAAGCGUUAUCCGGAUUUAUUGGGCGUAAAGCGAGCGCAGGCGGUUGCUUAGGUCUGAUGUGAAAGCCUUCGGCUUAACCGAAGAAGUGCAUCGGAAACCGGGCGACUUGA
RNAcentral lists this ribosomal RNA (257 nucleotides) under Limosilactobacillus oris. RNAcentral's name for it is "Lactobacillus oris partial 16S ribosomal RNA". It matches the Rfam family "Bacterial small subunit ribosomal RNA", at positions 396 to 645 of the family's 1533-position model. The record is from RNAcentral. Lineage: Bacteria; Bacillati; Bacillota; Bacilli; Lactobacillales; Lactobacillaceae.